CAGGUCCCUUCUGGUUCUACACUUCUAUGAUUCUGUAAAAGGGGAAUCAUAGGCUUGGAGAAUGGCAAGGGGUCAG
RNAcentral lists this microRNA precursor (76 nucleotides) under Alligator mississippiensis (American alligator). Its description in RNAcentral is "microRNA ami-mir-9608 precursor". Lineage: Eukaryota; Metazoa; Chordata; Crocodylia; Alligatoridae. The record is from miRBase by way of RNAcentral.